CCUACGGGGGACAGCAGUGAGGAAUAUUGGUCAAUGGACGGAAGUCUGAACCAGCCAUGCCGCGUGCAGGAAGACGGCUCUAUGAGUUGUAAACUGCUUUUGUACAAGGGUAAACCUGAAUACGUGUAUUCAGCUGAAAGUACUUUAAGAAUAAGGAUCGGCUAACUCCGUGCCAGCAGCCGCGGUAAUACGGAGGAUCCAAGCGUUAUCCGGAUUUAUUGGGUGUAAAGGGUGCGUAGGCGGAUAGGUAAGUUAGAUGGGAAAUGUCCGAGCUUAACUUGGGAACUGCCUUUAAUACUGUUGAUCUAGAGUGUAGAUGCGGUAGGCAGAAUGUAAGGUGUAGCGGUGAAAUGCUUAGAGAUCAUACAGAACACCGAAUGCGAAGGCAGCUUACCAAGCUAGAUCUGACGUUGAGGCACGAAAGCGUGGGGAGCAAACAGGAUUAGAUACCCGGGUAGUC
This 460-nucleotide ribosomal RNA is filed under the name uncultured bacterium. RNAcentral's name for it is "partial 16S ribosomal RNA". It matches the Rfam family "Bacterial small subunit ribosomal RNA", at positions 338 to 795 of the family's 1533-position model. The record is from RNAcentral.